Molecule: ribosomal RNA, 499 nt
Filed under: uncultured bacterium
Lineage: Bacteria
Description: bacterial SSU rRNA
Rfam family: Bacterial small subunit ribosomal RNA
Source: RNAcentral
GAGUUUGAUCCUGGCUCAGGAUUAACGCUGGCGGUAUGCCUAACACAUGCAAGUCGAACGGAAUACUAAUUAAGAGAAUCUCACACUAGUGAGAGGUUCUCACGAGUAGUAUUUAGUGGCGGACGGGUGAGUAACACGUUGGAACCUGCCCCGAAGUGGGGAAUAACUGCUCGAAAGAGUAGCUAAUACCCCAUAGUAUCCGGUUUAUCCGGAUUAAAGAUUUAUCGCUUCGGGAGGGGCCUGCGUCUGAUUAGCUUGUUGGUGAGGUAAAAGCUCACCAAGGCGACGAUCAGUAGCUGGUUCGAGAGGAUGACCAGCCACACUGGGACUGAGAUACGGCCCAGACUCCUACGGGAGGCAGCAGUGAGGAAUCUUCCACAAUGGACGAAAGUCUGAUGGAGCAAUACCGCGUGCAGGAAGACGCUUUUCGGAGUGUAAACUGCUUUUGUCGUCGAAGAUUAUGACUGUAGACGAAGAAUAAGGACCGGCUAACUACGUG